This 253-nucleotide ribosomal RNA is filed under the name uncultured bacterium. RNAcentral's name for it is "partial 16S ribosomal RNA". It matches the Rfam family "Bacterial small subunit ribosomal RNA", at positions 524 to 776 of the family's 1533-position model. The record is from RNAcentral.
GACGGAGGACGCAAGUGUUAUCCGGAAUCACUGGGCGUAAAGCGUCUGUAGGUGGUCAAAUAAGUCAACUGUUAAAUCUUGAGGCUCAACCUCAAAAUCGCAGUCGAAACUAUUAGACUAGAGUAUAGUAGGGGUAAAGGGAAUUUCCAGUGGAGCGGUGAAAUGCGUAGAGAUUGGAAAGAACACCGAUGGCGAAGGCACUUUACUGGGCUAUUACUAACACUCAGAGACGAAAGCUAGGGUAGCAAAUGGG